This 235-nucleotide unclassified non-coding RNA is filed under the name uncultured fungus. RNAcentral's name for it is "sequence contains ITS2". The stretch from base 1 to 52 matches the Rfam family "5.8S ribosomal RNA", at positions 103 to 154 of the family's 154-position model. The record is from RNAcentral. Lineage: Eukaryota; Fungi.
AACGCACAUUGCGCCCUCUGGUAUUCCGGGGGGCAUGCCUGUUCGAGCGUCAUUACAACCCUCAAGCUCUGCUUGGUAUUGGGUGUCACCGUUUCGGUGCACCCUAAAAUCAGUGGCGGUGUCACCUGGCUCCUAGCGUAGUAAUACUUCUCGCUAUAGAGCUUAGGUGUAUGCUUGCCAUAAACCCACUCUCAAGGUUGACCUCGGAUCAGGUAGGGAUACCCGCUGAACUUAA